RNAcentral lists this ribosomal RNA (482 nucleotides) under Aeromonas enteropelogenes. RNAcentral's name for it is "bacterial SSU rRNA". It matches the Rfam family "Bacterial small subunit ribosomal RNA", at positions 56 to 526 of the family's 1533-position model. Lineage: Bacteria; Pseudomonadati; Pseudomonadota; Gammaproteobacteria; Aeromonadales; Aeromonadaceae. The record is from RNAcentral.
UGCAGUCGAGCGGCAGCGGGAAAGUAGCUUGCUACUUUUGCCGGCGAGCGGCGGACGGGUGAGUAAUGCCUGGGAAAUUGCCCAGUCGAGGGGGAUAACAGUUGGAAACGACUGCUAAUACCGCAUACGCCCUACGGGGGAAAGCAGGGGACCUUCGGGCCUUGCGCGAUUGGAUAUGCCCAGGUGGGAUUAGCUAGUUGGUGAGGUAAUGGCUCACCAAGGCGACGAUCCCUAGCUGGUCUGAGAGGAUGAUCAGCCACACUGGAACUGAGACACGGUCCAGACUCCUACGGGAGGCAGCAGUGGGGAAUAUUGCACAAUGGGGGAAACCCUGAUGCAGCCAUGCCGCGUGUGUGAAGAAGGCCUUCGGGUUGUAAAGCACUUUCAGCGAGGAGGAAAGGUCAGUAGCUAAUAUCUGCUGACUGUGACGUUACUCGCAGAAGAAGCACCGGCUAACUCCGUGCCAGCAGCCGCGGUAAUAC